AUACGUAUUUAUUAUGCAAAUAAACAACUAACCUACACUUACAGUAUAUUACAAAUAUUUAAUCAAAUGACUCUUGGAAAGAGUUUGGAAAGAGGAGCUUCAAGGUGCCCCUUGUCCAGAAUACCCACAAUCGACGGAAGAGGACUGGAGCACAACCCAAGACCCAUCUGGAGGACUGGGGAUAUAUACUCCACUCACACCAGUCUGAACAGGACAGCUUGUCCCAGGACCCAUCUCACCUAGCACUCACUCAUGUCUGUGGCAGACUGGGACAUGUUGCCAAACCCACAAAGCGGGUCCAGGCCUCAUCCAUGUGGCGGUGCUGGAACAAGGUCUUCCACUUCCUGGACCACUGGAGACGCAUCGACUCACCCAGACCUCAUACAGCAGAACAUCAAGAGGCACUCAAAACACCUGCAGUUGUCAGCUUUGAGCUGUGAGGAGUCGACUGAGGCAGCAUGCCAUAUCCUGUGUCAGCAGGUCAACUGUACUGUUAAGACCCUGGUAUGUGACCAUAAC
Esox lucius (northern pike) is the source of this 519-nucleotide long non-coding RNA. NCBI's taxonomy places the organism in Eukaryota, Metazoa, Chordata, Actinopteri, Esociformes, Esocidae. The record is from Ensembl.